Molecule: long non-coding RNA, 370 nt
Organism: Uloborus diversus
Lineage: Eukaryota; Metazoa; Arthropoda; Arachnida; Araneae; Uloboridae
Exons: 3
Source: RefSeq, a predicted model, not a curated record
UUGUGACUCUGAAUAGGAAUAGGAACAACAAGCGGAUAGCUUCGCCGCCUUCGCGUAAGUCGAAACGAAAUUUCGCGUUGUGAAAACAGCAGUGUGUCAGCAACUGUAUGAAAAAUGUCUUUUUAUUUGAAUGGAUCUACGUUUUAUCGACUGGAAUGAACACUGACUUGCGGGACAUGGUACUGAGCUCUCACCUGGAAUAUUAGAAAUGCAAUUAUCCAGUUUCCCAAAAAGCAGGAAUAUAAUGAACUUCAGGAUAAGGUAGCAGUCACUAUCAACUGAAACAAAGUGGAAGUCAAAGAUGCAAAGUCCAGCAAGUUAGAAUACUAGUGAUGGUAGAAGAAUUACUGAAGCAGAUUGUUCUUAAAAA